Molecule: unclassified non-coding RNA, 298 nt
Filed under: Trichoderma sp.
Lineage: Eukaryota; Fungi; Ascomycota; Sordariomycetes; Hypocreales; Hypocreaceae
Description: partial contains 5.8S ribosomal RNA, internal transcribed spacer 2, and large subunit ribosomal RNA
Rfam family: 5.8S ribosomal RNA (bases 1-71)
Source: RNAcentral
GUGAGUCAUCGAAUCUUUGAACGCACAUUGCGCCCGCCAGUAUUCUGGCGGGCAUGCCUGUCCGAGCGUCAUUUCAACCCUCGAACCCCUCCGGGGGUCCGGCGUUGGGGAUCGGCCCUUUACCGGCCGGCCCCGAAAUACAGUGGCGGUCUCGCCGCAGCCUCUCCUGCGCAGUAGUUUGCACACUCGCAUCGGGAGCGCGGCGCGUCCACGUCCGUAAAACACCCAACUUCUGAAAUGUUGACCUCGGAUCAGGUAGGAAUACCCGCUGAACUUAAGCAUAUCAAUAAGCGGAGGA